This 730-nucleotide long non-coding RNA is filed under the name Equus asinus (donkey). RNAcentral's name for it is "lncRNA (ENSEASG00005024795.1)". Lineage: Eukaryota; Metazoa; Chordata; Mammalia; Perissodactyla; Equidae. The record is from RNAcentral.
CUGUCACUGUGGGGGCUCCUGUCACCAUGGGGGGUCCUGUCACUUGAGGGUCCUGUCACCGUGGGGGGUCCUGUGACUUGAGGGUCCUGUCACCGUGGGGGGGGUCCUGUGACUUGAGGGUCCUGUCACCGUGGGGGUCCUGUCAGCGGGGGCCCUUGGCAGUCACGCUGGAGGCGCGAGCAUUUUGUCCUCGUUGGAGGAGCCCGUGUCCAGCUCCCGGGCCCCGUGGGUCCCGCGCAGCCCUACCGGGUGGCGCCCCAAGGGCCGGCCCUCCGCACCGACGUCCUUUCGCUGCAGCGGUGGUGCGCGCGCCGCGCUCUCCCCCGUGGCUGGCUCUCGGCUGCAGCGUGGCGGGCGCGCGGAGGCGGCCUGCUCCCCACACUGACCCACGGCCGCUGCGGCGUCGGGGCCCCAUGGCGCGGGGCCUCGGGGACCGAGGGGCACGUCCUUCGGAGGCGGGGCUGGCUCUGGCUCUGGCACUGGCACUGGCUCUGGCUCUGUCUUGAGCGCUCGGCCUGGAGGGCGGGCUGAGGCGGCGGGCGGCGUCAACGCGGUCGGCCGAUGGACAAAGUUUGGAGAGCGCUUCGGGGCAGUACCUCUGGAAGUGGCCCCAAAGCAUACGCACGUCUGGCUCCCAUCGCAGGAGGGCUCUUAACCAGGACACGAUGACUGUGCUAGUGAUCCACUGUCUCCUGCCUGUGACGGUGCUGGUGAUCCACUGUGCCUGCCU